UCCGGUGACUUUAUCUGGAAGGUCACACCUGUUCCCAUCCCGAACACAGAAGUUAAGCUUCCAGAGCCGAUGAUAGUGCCCACCAGUGCGAAAGUAGGUCUCGCCGGAU
This 109-nucleotide ribosomal RNA is filed under the name Planctomycetaceae bacterium. RNAcentral also lists the same sequence under 1 other name. The record is from RNAcentral. Lineage: Bacteria; Pseudomonadati; Planctomycetota; Planctomycetia; Planctomycetales; Planctomycetaceae.